Molecule: non-coding RNA, 125 nt
Organism: Triticum aestivum (bread wheat)
Lineage: Eukaryota; Viridiplantae; Streptophyta; Magnoliopsida; Poales; Poaceae
Source: Rfam
AAUAUACUCCCUCCGUCCGGAAAUACUCGUCCGAAGAAUGGAUGUAUCUAGAUGUAUUUUAGUUGUAGAUACAUUCAUUUUUAUGCAUAUCUUCGACAAGUAUUUCUGGACGGAGGGAGUACAAA